This 558-nucleotide long non-coding RNA is filed under the name Homo sapiens (human). RNAcentral describes it as "HSALNT0205514". Lineage: Eukaryota; Metazoa; Chordata; Mammalia; Primates; Hominidae. The record is from RNAcentral.
GAGCCGUAUGUUUUGCUGCAAAAUAAAGAGAGCCUAUUUUACAAGAUGGUGCAACAACUGGGCAAGGCAGAAGCCGCUGCCCUCACUGAAACAGCAAAACAGGUAUACUUCAAAAGAAAUUAUCCACAUAUUGGUCACACUGACCACAUGGUUACAAACACUUCCAAUGGACAGCCCUCGACCUUAACUAUUUUCGAGACAGCACUGUGAAUCCAACCAAAAUGUCAAGUCCGUUCCGAAGGCAUUUUCCACUAGUUUUUGGACUAUGUAAACCACAUUGUACUUUUUUUUACUUUGGCAACAAAUAUUUAUACAUACAAGAUGCUAGUUCAUUUGAAUAUUUCUCCCAACUUAUCCAAGGAUCUCCAGCUCUAACAAAAUGGUUUAUUUUUAUUUAAAUGUCAAUAGUUGUUUUUUAAAAUCCAAAUCAGAGGUGCAGGCCACCAGUUAAAUGCCGUCUAUCAGGUUUUGUGCCUUAAGAGACUACAGAGUCAAAGCUCAUUUUUAAAGGAGUAGGACAAAGUUGUCACAGGUUUUUGUUGUUGUUUUUAUUGCCCC